Molecule: long non-coding RNA, 356 nt
Filed under: Numida meleagris (helmeted guineafowl)
Lineage: Eukaryota; Metazoa; Chordata; Aves; Galliformes; Numididae
Description: lncRNA (ENSNMEG00000019081.1)
Source: RNAcentral
GUCAAAUGUGUAAUCUGGAACUGUUUAUUCCCUCUGUUGGCUGAAGAGGCAGUUCAGAUGACUGCCACGUUUGAAAUGAGAGAUUUGAGUUAUAUUCUUCUUCCAUGACCUUCAGUGUCUCUAGCUGUCUAUCUGAAGGACAGAAGAAAAGAAGAAAGCCUGAGUUGUGGCAUAGUGGUUUACUCUUGCCACUGAAUUGUCCUGAAUCCUUCCUGCAGAGAGCAAGGGAUGAAGGAGAGACGAUACACCAGUGUGAGCUUCUGCUGCCUUCAAAAAUCAACAAGAGCCUUCCCAGGGCAAGGCCACAUCUAUCCUUUAAUUCAACUGUACUUCAAGUUGGGGCCCAAACUUACUAG